Molecule: ribosomal RNA, 251 nt
Filed under: uncultured prokaryote
Description: partial 16S ribosomal RNA
Rfam family: Bacterial small subunit ribosomal RNA
Source: RNAcentral
ACGUAGGGUGCGAGCGUUAAUCGGAAUUACUGGGCGUAAAGCGUGCGCAGGCGGUCAUGCAAGACGGAUGUGAAAUCCCCGGGCUCAACCUGGGAACUGCAUUCGUGACUGCAUGACUGGAGUGUGGCAGAGGGGAAUGGAAUUCCGCGUGUAGCAGUGAAAUGCGUAGAUAUGCGGAGGAACACCGAUGGCGAAGGCAGUUCCCUGGGCCUGCACUGACGCUCAUGCACGAAAGCGUGGGGAGCAAACAG